This 86-nucleotide transfer RNA is filed under the name Boseongicola sp. RNAcentral describes it as "tRNA-Leu". It matches the Rfam family "tRNA". From Rfam's summary of the family: Transfer RNA (tRNA) molecules are approximately 80 nucleotides in length. The record is from RNAcentral. Lineage: Bacteria; Pseudomonadati; Pseudomonadota; Alphaproteobacteria; Rhodobacterales; Paracoccaceae.
GCGGGCGUGAUGGAAUGGUAGACAUAUCGGACUUAAAAUCCGAAGGGCGUACGCCCGUGUGGGUUCGAGUCCCACCGCCCGCACCA